CAGCCACAUCAUGUUGAAACACCGGUUCUCAUGUGAUCACCAAAGUUAAGCAACACCAAGCCUGGUUAAUACCUAAAUGGGUGACCACUUGGGAAUAUCAGGUGCUGUAAG
Non-coding RNA from Acanthosepion pharaonis, 111 nucleotides. NCBI's taxonomy places the organism in Eukaryota, Metazoa, Mollusca, Cephalopoda, Sepiida, Sepiidae. The record is from the annotation of a GenBank genome assembly.